CACGUAGGGCGCAAGCGUUGUCCGGAAUUAUUGGGCGUAAAGGGCUCGUAGGUGGCCAACUAAGUCGGACGUGAAAUCCCUCGGCUUAACCGGGGAACUGCAUCCGAUACUGGAUGGCUUGAGUUCGGGAGAGGGAUGCGGAAUUCCAGGUGUAGCGGUGAAAUGCGUAGAUAUCUGGAGGAACACCGGUGGCGAAGGCGGCAUCCUGGACCGACACUGACGCUGAGGAGCGAAAGCGUGGGGAGCGAACAGG
RNAcentral lists this ribosomal RNA (253 nucleotides) under uncultured bacterium. Its description in RNAcentral is "partial 16S ribosomal RNA". It matches the Rfam family "Bacterial small subunit ribosomal RNA", at positions 524 to 776 of the family's 1533-position model. The record is from RNAcentral.